RNAcentral lists this ribosomal RNA (1384 nucleotides) under uncultured bacterium. RNAcentral's name for it is "bacterial SSU rRNA". It matches the Rfam family "Bacterial small subunit ribosomal RNA", at positions 27 to 1402 of the family's 1533-position model. The record is from RNAcentral.
GAUUGAACGCUGGCGGUAUGCUUAACACAUGCAAGUCGAACGGAAACGAUACUAGCUUGCUAGUAGGCGUCGAGUGGCGGACGGGUGAGUAACGCGUAGGAAUCUGCCUGAUAGUGGGGGAUAGCCCGAAGAAAUUCGGAUUAAUACCGCAUAAUCUAUUCGUAGUAAAGUGGGGGACUUUCGAGCCUCACGCUAUCAGAUGAGCCUGCGUAAGAUUAGCUUGUUGGUAGGGUAAAAGCCUACCAAGGCGACGAUCUUUAGCUGGUCUGAGAGGAUGAUCAGCCACAUCGGGACUGAGACACGGCCCGAACUCCUACGGGAGGCAGCAGUGGGGAAUAUUGGACAAUGGGGGCAACCCUGAUCCAGCAAUACCGCGUGUGUGAAGAAGGCCUGAGGGUUGUAAAGCACUUUCAAUUGUGAAGAAAAGUUAGCGGUUAAUAACCGUUAGCCUUGACGUUAACUUUAGAAGAAGCACCGGCUAACUCCGUGCCAGCAGCCGCGGUAAUACGGAGGGUGCAAGCGUUAAUCGGAAUUACUGGGCGUAAAGCGUGCGUAGGCGGUUUAUUAAGUCAGAUGUGAAAGCCCCGGGCUUAACCUGGGAACUGCAUUUGAAACUGGUCAACUAGAGUAUGGUAGAGGAAAGUGGAAUUUCUGGUGUAGCGGUGAAAUGCGUAGAUAUCAGAAGGAACAUCAAUGGCGAAGGCAGCUUUCUGGACCAAUACUGACGCUGAGGUACGAAAGCGUGGGUAGCAAACAGGAUUAGAUACCCUGGUAGUCCACGCCGUAAACGAUGAUAACUAGCCGUUGGGGGGAUUUACCCUUUAGUGGCGAAGCUAACGCGUUAAGUUAUCCGCCUGGGGAGUACGGCCGCAAGGUUAAAACUCAAAGGAAUUGACGGGGACCCGCACAAGCGGUGGAGCAUGUGGUUUAAUUCGAUGCAACGCGAAGAACCUUACCUGGUCUUGACAUCCUGCGAACUUUCUAGAAAUAGAUUGGUGCCUUCGGGAACGCAGUGACAGGUGCUGCAUGGCUGUCGUCAGCUCGUGUCGUGAGAUGUUGGGUUAAGUCCCGUAACGAGCGCAACCCCUAUCCUUAUUUGCCAGCACAUCAUGGUGGGAACUAUAAGGAGACUGCCGGUGAUAAACCGGAGGAAGGCGGGGACGACGUCAAGUCAUCAUGGCCCUUACGACCAGGGCUACACACGUGCUACAAUGGGAAGGACAAAGAGCCGCGAAGCCGCGAGGUGUAGCUAAUCUCAUAAACCUUUUCGUAGUCCGGAUUGGAGUCUGCGACUCGACUCCAUGAAGUCGGAAUCGCUAGUAAUCGUAGAUCAGAAUGCUACGGUGAAUACGUUCCCGGGUCUUGUACACACCGCCCGUCAAGG